GAUGAACGCUGGCGGCGUGCCUAAUACAUGCAAGUCGAGCGAACAGACGAGGAGUUUGCUCCUCUGUCGUUAGCGGCGGACGGGUGAGUAACACGUGUAUAACGUACUUAUAAGACUGGUAUAACUACGGGAAACCGGCGCAAAUCCCGGAUAAUCUAUUGAACCGCAGGGUUCAAUAGUGAAAGUCGGCUUUUCGGGCACUACUCGCUGCUUCUGCGCCGCAUUAGCUAGUUGGUAAGGUAACGGCUUACCAAGGCGACGAUGCGUGGCCGACUUGAGGGGGUGAUAGCCGACAUUGGAACGGGGACACGGUCCAGACUCCUGCGGGAGGCAGCAGUAGGGAAUGUUCCGCAAUGGGCGAAAGCAUGACGGAGCAACGCCGCGUGAGUGAUGAAGGUCUUGGGAUCGUAAAGCUCUGUUAUUAGGGAAGAACAGAUGUGUAAGUAACUGUGCACGUCGUGACGGUACCUAAUCAGAAAGCAACGGCUAACUACGUG
This 497-nucleotide ribosomal RNA is filed under the name uncultured bacterium. RNAcentral's name for it is "partial 16S ribosomal RNA". It matches the Rfam family "Bacterial small subunit ribosomal RNA", at positions 28 to 507 of the family's 1533-position model. The record is from RNAcentral.